This is a long non-coding RNA of Eucalyptus grandis, 1575 nucleotides long. RefSeq lists it as uncharacterized. The record is from RefSeq and is a predicted model, not a curated record. Lineage: Eukaryota; Viridiplantae; Streptophyta; Magnoliopsida; Myrtales; Myrtaceae. The transcript has 2 exons.
GGCUGGGUCCUUUAGACAUUUAGCCCCUGAAAUGUUCAUGCAUAGAUGUUGUAAAAUAGAUAUUCCGUGAAGGAAAUGUAGUACUUUAUGGUGCUCCCUAGUUGUGCAUCCAAUUUUGUUUUAAGCUGGUGUGGAACCUCUUAUGUUGUGGAAAUUGCACAAAUUUUGCCUUUGUUACACCCUUCUCUUGUCUAUAGGUGGUCAAUGCUGCGGCAGCUGUAGAUACUCUAUCUAAUCAAGUGAUUGCAAAGGCAUGUGAUGAAGUCUGCUCUUGGCAAACUCCAGAAACAGAAGUUGGCGCUGAAUGUAGGAGUUCCACCAAAUCUUCUGCUGAAAUGACUGGAUGGAUAAAACACGAAUCAUGUCCAACACCGUUCCUCAGGUGGGGCAAAGCAAGUUGAGACAUCCAUUUCUUGUGCACAUCCAUAAUGGUGGGUAGAUGAACAGACUGGCAGGAGCUCUUCAUUUUGGCACCCGUUGCGACAUGCUGCGAUGGUGGCCAUUGAAUCAUCUGCUGCCAGGGACAGACGCUUAUUCCCUGAUGUGAGAUACAAAGAUGAAGCUACUAAAGAGGAGUAUAUUCUAUAUCCUGCAAAAUCUCAAGCAAAAGGACGGAAAACUGAUGGCAAUGACAUAAGCUUUUCCUCUACAUGUGAAGGAAAUCCUGGCAAGCCUUUCUAGCAUGACAAUGGCAUCUAAGUAUCAUCUGCUUCGUUGUUAUAAAGUGCACGAUCUUUUCUCAACAUUUGCAAAUAUCAUCAUACUAUUUCAUCUGUUAUUGCUCAACUCAAACUCCGAUUAGCUCUCAGAUGGUUGGUUGGGUGCAUGUUAUAAUCAUCCCUUAGUCAAUUUCAUUGUCUUGAUGGACUUGGUAAUAGUCAACUCUGUAUAUGCGAUUUAUUAAGUGAACACCUUUUGAUGACAAUGCCUACUCAGCCAGUAAUACAUGCACUGUCCACCAAUUAACUAGUUGGCACUGAAGAUGAAAUGCUUGAGGAUUAUUUGGCUCUGAACAUAUGGAACCAACUAUUGCGUUUGAUUCUAUAGAUUGAUUCUCUUCUGCUCCUUUGCAAUUAAUCUGACGAUAUUUCAUCUUGGCACUGACAUCUAUAUCAUUGUGGGAAUUCAGGUCGACAAUGAUGAAAAAAAUGAUGCUGCUCAUGGAAAUGGUGAUCUCUCUAUUAGACCGUAUUUAUGCAUUGGCAAUGACAUCUACCUUGUUUGGGAACCAUGCACAAUGUGUGCGAUGGCACUUGUGCAUCAGAGAAUCAGGCGUGUGUUUUACGCUUUUCCAAAUCUGAGUGCCGGAGCGUUGGGCAGUGUUCACCGGCUACAGGAGGAAAAAAGCUUGAAUCAUCACUAUGCGGUGUUCAGGGUUGUGGUGCCACAGGAUAUCCUGGACAAAUCCAAAACAUCGAUAUCUGGGAGCCAAGAAUGAGAAUGUUGAGUUGAGGAUGCCUUGAAUUUUGUAGGAAGAAGAUAGUAGGAAGAUUGUAUUGCAUUAUCUAUCUUCUUGGUCAUCAGAUUUUGGACUUCUUUUCCCCCUUUCUAAUCUUGUUCGAGUUAUGUAUUGCA